ACUAGUUCCUGCUCGGCCCAGGCCAGCCGCUCCUCUCCUCCUCACCUCUCCAGCGCGUGCUGCCCUAACUGACGCCGUGGAAGUGCGCGCCGCCGCCCGCUCUCUCCCCGGUCGCGCCGCCGCCGCCUCUCCGCAGCCCGAGCGUUAAUAAUCCCUGGACGAUGGAGAUGAAUGCUGCAACAAGUCUAGAACCUAGAGCAAAGGCUACCCUGGUUCUCGGAGGGGAAUCGUUCGCAGUCAGCUCCGAGUCCGGCACCCUGUCGGAGCAGCUGGCGGCGAUGAGGGAGAAGAGCAUGGUGAUCCUCAAGGAGUACAUCACCAAGCACAACGUCCCGAACGAUGUCCCUGAUGAAUCCAUUGAGGGCCCAUCGGAUGAGGAGGGCGAGGCACUUGCUAAAAACCCGCCCAAGAAAUCAAAGAAGCAGAAGUGAUUGUCCUGAAUCUCAUCUGAUUUAUCGUGCCCUUUCUUAGUCCUCUCUUGCAAAGAUCUGAGAACAUGCUGUUACCCCUUGCUAGCUGUUCCUUUGACACUGAACGACCAACAAUUUAUUCUUAGGCACACUAGCUGCUUGUGUAUCAAAUCGAUGUGUGCAAGCGACGCUCAAUGUUGUUAUCUGAUAAUAUGUGUGUGCAAGGAAAGUUUGCAUCUUUCUUUCUGUACAACUCGUUGUUAGAAGAUGUUCUGCUUUUCGCUGGUAAUAUAUGAGCUUCAGCACUAAAGUCCAUUGCAGUUAAAUCAUUUGUCAGAUGUUUUGCUUUUGAGGAUAAUGAAUGAGCUUCAGC
RNAcentral lists this ribosomal RNA (783 nucleotides) under Triticum aestivum (bread wheat). RNAcentral describes it as "partial small subunit ribosomal RNA". The record is from RNAcentral. Lineage: Eukaryota; Viridiplantae; Streptophyta; Magnoliopsida; Poales; Poaceae.